UGGGGAAUAUUGGACAAUGGGCGCAAGCCUGAUCCAGCCAUGCCGCGUGAGUGAUGAAGGCCCUAGGGUUGUAAAGCUCUUUUGUGCGGGAAGAUAAUGACGGUACCGCAAGAAUAAGCCCCGGCUAACUUCGUGCCAGCAGCCGCGGUAAUACGAAGGGGGCUAGCGUUGCUCGGAAUCACUGGGCGUAAAGGGUGCGUAGGCGGGUCUUUAAGUCAGGGGUGAAAUCCUGGAGCUCAACUCCAGAACUGCCUUUGAUACUGAAGAUCUUGAGUUCGGGAGAGGUGAGUGGAACUGCGAGUGUAGAGGUGAAAUUCGUAGAUAUUCGCAAGAACACCAGUGGCGAAGGCGACUCACUGGCCCGAUACUGACGCUGAGGCACGAAAGCGUGGGGAGCAAACAGGAUUAGAUACCCUUGUAGUCCUGAGCGGGCUGGCAAGGCGCAU
RNAcentral lists this ribosomal RNA (446 nucleotides) under uncultured bacterium. Its description in RNAcentral is "bacterial SSU rRNA". It matches the Rfam family "Bacterial small subunit ribosomal RNA", at positions 355 to 825 of the family's 1533-position model. The record is from RNAcentral.